UAUUUUUACAUCUUACGAUGCAAAAGAAGACUAUUUUAUUAACACUGUGCAUUUUUGCAAGCUCUUUUGCAAUUAAUAGUGACGACGAUGACGGUCCUCCAAAGAGAUAUGAUGGAUAUUCUGUAUUUCGUGUCACACCAUCCAAUGAAGCCGAUCUGAAAUUUCUUCAAUGGCUUCGCAAUGAUGUUGAGUUCGAUUUUUGGACUAAUCCUGGAGUUAUUGGAAAACCAGUAGAUAUAAUGAUUCCUCCUGAAAAAUUGCUACUGUUUAAUGAAAGUUUCACUGCAAAUAAAAUAGAUUUUUCUCUUCUUACUAAUGAUGUACAAAGAUUGAUCGACGAAGAGAAUGAACUUUUAAACAGCCCCGAGCCAAAACGUCAGAAAAGAUCUUUACUAUCGUUCUUCCGUAAAUUUCAAAAGAAGAAUGCGUUUUACGACUAUUUAGGCCAGUUACUUUAUCACUUUCAACCAAAAAUUCAAGUAGUAACUGUUGGAAGAACUUUCCGCGGAAACGAACUCAAACUAGUCAAAUUAUCAACUGGUCCUCGCAACGCCAACAAACCAAUUAUAUGGAUUGAUGGCGGAAUACAUGCAAGAGAGUGGAUUGCACCAGCCACAGCUAUGUAUAUCAUAUUUAAAAUUUUGAAUUCAUAUGAAACUAAUAAGAAAGUGAGAAAAUUGUUAGAUACUUAUGACUGGUAUAUCAUGCCCUUAGUCAAUCCAGAUGGAUACGAUUAUACAUUCAAACAUGACCGUUUUUGGAGAAAGAAUCGUUCUCAAAGUCGAAUACAUAAAGAAGGAGUUGACCUGAACCGAAAUUUUCCAUUUGACUGGAACACCCCUAACACGGACGUAUUGUCUCGCUAUCCAAAUACGGAUCAAUAUAGGGGACCAGAACCAAUGUCAGAAUUAGAAACUAAAGCUAUAGCAAGAACCUUAACGGAAGUUAAAGAAAGAGUAAAACUGUUUUUAACCUUACAUUCUUAUGGACAAUUUAUAAUGUUUCCAUGGGGUUCCAGAGAAGAGCAUUGCGACGACUAUGAUACUCUAUACUUUUAUUUUUUAAUUGAAGAAACAUGUUGGAAUUCGUGCAGCAGAAGCUAUUAGAAAAUCUUCUGGAGCACAGUAUAAGUCUGACAGCAUAAAUGAAAUAGUGGGUAUUGCCACGGGAAAUUCGGUAGAUUGGGCAUAUGGGGCACUAAAUAUAAAAUACUCAUUUGGCUUUGAAUUGCGAGACAAAGGAGUCAAAGGAUGGCAAAUAAGUACUAGAGAGAUAAUUCCUGUGGGCGAAGAAGUUUG
Molecule: unclassified non-coding RNA, 1298 nt
Filed under: Centruroides sculpturatus (bark scorpion)
Lineage: Eukaryota; Metazoa; Arthropoda; Arachnida; Scorpiones; Buthidae
Description: carboxypeptidase B-like, transcript variant X2
Source: RNAcentral